Molecule: long non-coding RNA, 680 nt
Organism: Sinocyclocheilus grahami
Lineage: Eukaryota; Metazoa; Chordata; Actinopteri; Cypriniformes; Cyprinidae
Exons: 2
Source: RefSeq, a predicted model, not a curated record
GAAAAUUUCACGGUGGCAAAGAGAAUAUCGAGGGACCAAAUUGUUAUUUAUUAACAAAUGGGGGCUCGUCCUUCCGGAAUUUCUCAAAAAGACAGGUAAGAAACUUUUAUUUUUCUUCCUGUCUGUAAGAGAAAUUGAAUUUAUUCUCGUUUGCAAUUUGAUUGUGUCAUAUUUGGCAUUAAUCUGUUUUCCUCACAUUUUAUAUGUGGGACGAAGAGUGAGAAGCUUUCCGUUUAACCUAUCUAUUUCAGAAAAAUAGAGUAGUGGGAAAGAUUUUAAUUGCUCACUCUUGCCGUGAAAGUUCUCGGUUUCUUAAGUGAUUUCAUGAAUAAUACAGAAUUUAAAGCUUUCUUUUGGCCAAAAUAUCAAAAAGUUAAUAUAAGACCGCGGUCUCUAUUUUGUGUUUUGUUUGGCCAUUCUAUAAAUUGUGAAAAGUGCACUAAAAUUGACGAGACAUCUUUGAUCUCCGAUGGGGCAGGCGAUCUCCAAACCAAUUCUUGGCGAGUUGCCAAGGGAUUGGAUGUACAGAAACAAUAAAGGGUUUAAUACUGAACCAUAUUUGAGUAAUUUGGCUGGUUGAUCAGGUUAAAACGACUGAUAAAAAAUCUUUCUUUCAAAUGUCCCAUGUUGACUCUCCCAGCUCGGCUCCGCCUCGGUAUGAUACUGUUGGAAAGCCUGAA